GCACGUAAACGGUUGUACCGGCGUGCGGUGUCUGCCUGAACGUUGGCGUCUGUGUAUGCGUGUCUUCUUUGUGGCAUCACACGUCAACUACACUGAACGCAUACACCUGCAGCACCUUUGGGACCAAUGACACAAAGGUCAAGGCCAGCCUGGCGACCAUGCUUGCCAAGGAGUAGUGUAAAUAUUUAAUCUGUUUCCAUAGUAGCAUAAGACAUGAAUUUAAGGAAUUCAUCUAUUAUAUCGAGCAAUAAAAACGGUUAAUGCA
This 265-nucleotide long non-coding RNA is filed under the name Dermacentor andersoni. RNAcentral's name for it is "uncharacterized LOC126540320". Lineage: Eukaryota; Metazoa; Arthropoda; Arachnida; Ixodida; Ixodidae. The record is from RNAcentral.